AGAGUUUGAUCCUGGCUCAGGAUGAACGCUGGCGGCGUGCCUAACACAUGCAAGUCGAGCGAUUCUCUUCGGAGAAGAGCGGCGGACGGGUGAGUAACGCGUGGGUAACCUGCCCUGUACACACGGAUAACAUACCGAAAGGUAUGCUAAUACGAGAUAAUAUACUUUUAUCGCAUGGUAGAAGUAUCAAAGCUCCGGCGGUACAGGAUGGACCCGCGUCUGAUUAGCUAGUUGGUAAGGUAACGGCUUACCAAGGCGACGAUCAGUAGCCGACCUGAGAGGGUGAUCGGCCACAUUGGAACUGAGACACGGUCCAAACUCCUACGGGAGGCAGCAGUGGGGAAUAUUGCACAAUGGGCGAAAGCCAGAUGCAGCAACGCCGCGUGAGCGAUGAAGGCCUUCGGGUCGUAAAGCUCUGUCCUCAAGGAAGAUAAUGACGGUACUUGAGGAGGAAGCCCCGGCUAACUACGUG
RNAcentral lists this ribosomal RNA (472 nucleotides) under uncultured bacterium. RNAcentral describes it as "bacterial SSU rRNA". It matches the Rfam family "Bacterial small subunit ribosomal RNA", at positions 8 to 507 of the family's 1533-position model. The record is from RNAcentral.